Molecule: transfer RNA, 59 nt
Filed under: Phaeocystis antarctica
Lineage: Eukaryota; Haptophyta; Phaeocystales; Phaeocystaceae
Also listed under: 2 other names
Description: partial tRNA
Rfam family: tRNA
About the family: Transfer RNA (tRNA) molecules are approximately 80 nucleotides in length. Their secondary structure includes four short double-helical elements and three loops (D, anti-codon, and T loops).
Source: RNAcentral
AAGGGAUUAGGACAGGGACCUUCUAAGUCUCUAAUGUAGGUUCGAAUCCUACUGGGCCC